UUUUUUUUUUUUGUUUUAACGGAAUUGAAAAAGAGCAUCAGACUCUCUCGUAUGCUUUUGUGAAAAACAAUUUUUCUUGUUCUUCUUUCUCUGAUUGGUCGAAUUUGAGGAGACAAGAGUUGACGAUUUUUCCUCAAUUGUUUUACAUGGCGUGUUCUCCAUGGUAUGUUCUCCUCAACUGAAAAUUUGGUUCGGCAAUUACUGUGAGAUCUAAAUUAUUUUAACUGUUUCCUCCAUUUAUUGGUAUUUAUAUAUUUUCUGCUUUUAAUUAUUAUAACUUUUGUAUAUGAUUGAAUAGUGCGCAAUAUUUAAUUAUUCACAUAGGCUAGCAACUGGCGUAAUUGGGUUUAUGUCAAGAAAAUAUACGAUCUAAAUAGCAUAUUUGUUAGUUAGGAUUGGAUUUUUUUUUUAAAUCUUAAUGCAAUUUAAAAAUUACAUCCUAUGAUCGUACCUAGAAUUGUUUCCGAAUUAGAGAAAUAGUUAACAGUCGUAUCUUAAUUAUUGAGAAAUUAAGUAAAAGUUGGUUGUUUAUCGCAUGUAUGACAACUAUAACCAAUCUAUUAAUAAAUGUUGGAAUUAUCUUUGAAUCAAUGAUUAGUUGUAUGAACCAUCUCUGAAGUGUACCAUUGGUUAGAGUUUCUCCAAUUAUUUCUGUCAAUUAAUUAUUUUUUGCAUUUGAUUUAUUUAGUUAGCAAUUCAUUAGCAUUUAAUUCUAAAAUUCCCCACUUGUCUUGACUCGAAAAGAAACAAACUUCUCCCCAAUCCCUGAGGAGACGACCCUACUUGCACUGUCUACUAGUUAGUAAAUUUUGUCAGUUAAUUAAUUAUGGUAUAUCGGAUUAACCAAAUUCUUCGGGAACAGGGUGAAUCAAAUAAUCCAUUGUACACCUAGAGUCUCUGCUCCAGUAUCUAGAAUUGAUUAUUGACUGUUUUUUGUGGUAGUUAGGUUUUUAUUAUUAUUAUACAUGCUUGGCACCUGUCAAUUUUUUGCAGAUUAUGAUUAGUUAAGUCCACAAUCCCAAGAUUUAUAAUCAAUUGAGUGAUAAAAGAGCCCAAAAUUAACGGCUUAUUUUUCUUGCUUAAGACGGUUCGAAGGUGAGAAGCAAACCAAUAACCAAAGUUGACCUUAACCUCGGCAACCAUACACCAAAUAAAAAAAAACUCAGGUUUGGUCAAAAUACCUUAACUGUUUUCUACCGGAGAAGCUGUAAGUCAUAAAACGGUGUAAAUAGCGAAAAAUGGGGCUCUUAAAAAAAAAGAGGAUUUAAACUGGUUAGGAUCAUAAGAUUGUUGGUCAACCGACAAUUCUCUCCAAUAGCCAGUGUUAUGGGAAAAGAAAGGCUCAAUGUACUCGCAGGUGCUUGCCAUAUAUUCAUCAGUUUGGGAGUAGGGAAUGUCAAUAAAAUUAAGGGCUAAAUUAAACUCAGUGAGGGAUUGUGUAAAAUCCCUACCCAUUAAUCUAAAACGCACCACCCCAGGAGUAGUAACGGAGAAUUCAUCAGAGACAUUAAACUCAAAACUGGUAUAGAACUCCCACGUUAAUUCAGUGAAGGCAGGUAAAAUAAUAGCAAUAUAACGAGUCCAAAACUAUGGUAGUUAACUUUUUAGUGAUCUCAUCUCUAAUAUUUAGAAGAUCAAGUGUAGGGUCAUGGAUGAACUUGCAAGGAAUAAUUUUUCUUGUGCAAGUAGCGGCAUACCGUUCUCUAUCGGCAGCCCUGAUAAAGGUCAAAUGGCCACUGAAGUAGGUCGUAGAGGAGGUGUGAACCUCCCUAAUGGGCCCAAGUCGGGUCCAGGGUUUCCCGAGCAAUCGCUUAGGAAGGCCCACUCAAAGGGACAGUAGAUUGUGGGGUGGAGGUGAAAGGUCUAUUCCUGCUUUUAUCUUUUAGUUUGGCCAUUUGAUAUCAGUGAACAGGGCAAGGGUAAGGUACGAGUGUUCAAAAUAAGUCAAUAGGCCCAACUAAGCAUGGGUCCCCAAUCACAAUUCCAAACACCAAUAAUUAAACAAAUAGACAAUAAACACACCAAAAACUAAUUAAACAGGUAGUCACAGCAAAAACUUUUCCAAAUAUCACGGGUUUAGCACAAAAUUGAGCAAAUAGUCAACAGUAGCCAAAGACAAAAUCACAACACCCAAAUUAAGCACAAAUUGUCUGUCAUCAGCUAAUGUUAACAGAAAAUUAAAGAAAGAAGGGACCUGAGGUGGGAACCGGCAGUAGGUACGAUGGCAGAGCGGCAGCGGCGGCGCCUGAAGGCCAUGCGUGGAGGUGCACCCGUGGCGGACACGCGCUUAGGCGGAGGCAUGUGCUCUUGCUGGUCGCGCAUAGAGAGGAAGAGUGCUGACUGGGCUCGCGCUGGCAGGGCUCGCGUUGGUGGGCGCUGGUCGCUGGUCGCGUGCAGUCUAGCACGAUGGAACGGAGCCCGCAGAGGUGUGCUUAGGCGUGCCUGGGCUAGAACGGAGCGCUCAGGGGCACAACUGCGCACUAUCUGGCGCGCGAUGGGAAAUAGAAGGACGCGCCACUGUGCGCUAUCUGCGCGCGAGGUAAAGAGGGAAGGCGUGCGAAACGCGCACUGCGAUGGGGCGCGAUGGUGGAGGAAGUAGGCGGUGAGGGCGAGAGGCGUAUGGCGGCGCACGGUCUUGCGGUCGAUAAUGAAGGCGACACUGAGUAGAAGAAGAAGAAAAGCAAGAAAAGGAAGAAAUAGAAAGAAGAAGAAGAGAAAGAAUGAAUGAAGACAAGAAAGGCAAAAAAGAAGAAAGUAGGGCAACGGGUCCUCUACCCCUUUUUUUAAGUGAGAGUAAUUUUGUUUUUUUAUCUCUUUUUUUUAAGAGCAGGGAACCCCCUUGUUAGGCGUAGGCAUGCUUAACUGCCUAAGAGUCUUCUGACCAUUCGCCCAAAAUUUGGAUCCUUAAACGUGACCACCUGACGUGAGCAUGCCUAACUCAUAGAAAGUCUUCUUACCAAUCUCCAGAAAUUGAGUUCCUUGGGCGUGACUACUUGGCGUGGGCACGCCUAACUGCUAUAGAGUCUUCUGACCGCGGACGUGAAUCUCUUUCCUUAAGCGUGACCACCUGGCGUGGGCAUACCUAACUACUCGAGAGUUUUCUGUCCGUCAAUUCAAAACUUCAUUCCUUAAACGUGACCACCUAGCGUUGGCACAUCUAACUGCCAGCUUCCUGCCACACAACAACAAACCACUAAAUGACACUAACACUGAACAAAAACUCCAGAAAGAUAAGAAAAUUAGAACAAAUAGCAUUGGGUUGCCUCCUAAGCAGCGUCUUUCUUUAAUGUCUUUGGUUAAACUUGGUCGGAACUCUCAAAAUGGAUAAAUUGGAUCCUCGAGUUGUAUGAACUCGACUUCCUCAACAGAGAAUCUUUCAUAGUAUGGUUUGAGACGCUGGUCAUUCAUCACGAACUUCUUCUCCGUCUUUAAAUUUUGGAUCUCCACUGCACCAUAAUAAAAAAUAUUAGAAAUGACAAAUGGACCAAUCCAACGAGAAUGCAACUUAUCGAAAAAAAGUUUAAGUCUCGAGUGAUACAAGAGGACUUUUUGCCCCACUACAAAUGACUUUCUUGACACUUGUUGAUUAUGAAAAAUUUUGCUCUUCUCCUUGUAAAUCAUGGUAUUCUCAUAUGCCUCAUUUCUAAUCUCUUCCAACUCUUGUAGCUGCAAUUUCCUAUGGACUCCCGCUUCCUCAAGAUUUAGAUUACACUGCUUCACUGCCCAGAAUGCCCUAUGCUCGAACUCUACUGGGAGAAGGCAAGUCUUACAGAAGACUAGUCUAUACGAGGACAUCCCAGUCGGCGUCUUAUACACGGUGCGGUAAGCCCAUAGUGCAUCUUCCAAUUUCAAGUUUUAAUCCUUUCUAUCAGGGCGUACCAUCUUCUCCAAGACAGACUUGAUCUCCCUCUUUGACACUUUGGCUUGACCAUUUGUUUGCGGGUAAUAUGGCGUACUCGGGUAAUAUGACGCGGAUACUUUGUGGAGUACGCCAUAUUUGCGGAACAAGGCAGCAAUAGUUUUAUUGCAAAAAUGUGUCCCCCUAUCACUUACUACAGCUCUUGUCAUCCCAAAACGGACAAAAAUGUUAGACUUUAAAAACACUGCAACCACUCUAGAAUCGUUAGUUCGGGUGACUUUUACUUCCACCCACUUAGAGAUAUAAUCAACGGUAAGUAAGAUGUAUACGAAACCAAAAGACGAGGAAAAAGGACCCAUGAAAUCUAUCCUCCAAACAUCAAAAAUUUCAACAAACAAUACGGGGAUUUGAAACAUUUGGUUCCUACGAAAAAAAUUUCCCACCCUUUGACACUUAUCACAAGAUUUACAAAAUAAAUAUGCAUCUUUGAAAAGGAUGGACCAAUAAAUGCCUCUCUCCAACACCUUGCAAACUGUUCGUUUUGGUCCAAAGUGUCCUUCACAUGCAAACGAAUGGCAAAAAAGUUACAAUAGAGUGAAAUUCACCUGCAUUUAAACAUUUUUUUAGCACUUAAUCCGAACAUUGCCUCUACAGGUAGGGGUCGUUCCAAAUAUAGUAUUUGACAUCACUUUUCACUUUGUCUCUCCUUUCCUUUGACCAACCUGCAGGUAAUUGGUUAGUUAUUAAGUAAUUCACGAUAUCAGCAUACCAAGGUGCAGACGAAUCAAUGGCAAGUAAUUGCUCUUCUGGAAACGCCUUGCUCUUUUGGAAACGCCUCUCUCAAUGGCUGUUCCUCCUUAUUUGUAAGCAAACGGCUUAAGUGAUGAGCAACCAAGUUCUCUGCCCCGUUUUUAUCCUUAAUCUCCAAGUCAAACUCUUGUAGGAGCAGAAUCCAUCUGACGAGUCUUGGUUUUGCAUCCUUUUUCGUCAUCAAAUACCUUAAGGCUGCAUGAUCAGAGAAAACUAUUACCUUUACACCCAACAAAUAAGAUCUUAAUUUUUCUAAUGCAAAAAUAACAGUUAAUAAUUCUUUCUCUGUCGUAGAAUAGUUAAGUUGGGUUCCAUUCAACUCUUUUGAUGCAUAGUAAUAGCAUGCGCCACCCUGCCAAUCCUUUGCCCCAACACCGUUCCCACUGCGUAAUCACUUACGUCGCACAUUAAUUCAAAUGGAAGGCUCCAGUUUGGGGGUUGAAUGACGGGUGGUGAUGUCAACAACUCCUUUAAUUUGUCAAAUGCUGCCUUGCAUUCCUCGGUGAAGUCAAAUGCUAUGUCCUUUUGCAAUAAUUUGAACAAGGGUGUUCCAAUUUUCGAAAAGUCCUUGAUGAAUCUCCUAUCGAACCCUGCAUGACCCAAAAAGGAACGUGCUUCUCGUACACUUACGGGAUAAGGUAAAACAGAAAUAAGGUCGACUUUUGUUUUAUCUACCUCUAUUCACCUAACCAACACUACAUGUUCUAAGACAAUACCAUGCUCCAUCACAAAGUAGCAUUUUUUCCAAUUAAGAACCAAGUUUGUCUCUAUGCACCUUUUUAAGAUUAAAACUAGAUUAUCAAGGCAUUCAUCAAAGCUAUCCCCAUACACACUGAAAUCAUCCAUAAAUAUUUCGAUAACUUUUUUUAUAUACUCGAAGAAGAUACUUACCAUGCACCUUUGAAAAGUUACUAGAGCAUUACAGAGACCGAAAGGCAUUCUGUGGUAGGCAAAAGUACCAAAUGGGGAAGUGAAUGUGGUUUUCUCUUGGUCCUCCGGUAUUAUCGUGAUUUGGAAGUACCCUGAAAAAUCAUCAAGAAAACAGUAAUAAACACGACCAGUCAACCUCUCUAUCAUCUAAUCAAUAAAAGGGAGAGGGAAGUGGUCCCUUUUUGUCACGGCAUUCGGUCUCCGGUAAUCAAUGCAUUGGCGCCACCAUGUGGGUUUCUUGAUUGGAACCAUCUCGCCUUCCUGGUUUUCUUCUAUAGUAACUCCCGCCUUUUUCGGGACCAUUUGAACUGAGCUCACCCACGGGCUGUCUAAGAUGGCGAAGAUAAUUCCCACCUCUAGGAGUUUGAGUAUCUCCUUCUUAUCUACUUCCAUCAUCAGCGGGUUCAAUUUUCGUUGUGCAUGUCUCAUCGGCUUUACAUCAUUUUCGAGCCAUAUUCGGUACAUGCAUAAAGAUGGGUUGAUUCCUUUGAUGUCUGUGAUGUUCCACCCAAUCGCUAACUUAUGAUCUCGAAGAAAACAAAUCAGGUUGUCUUCUUAAUUCGGUGACAGGUGUGCAAAAAUUAUCACCGGUAAUGUCUCCUUGUCCCCGAAAAAUGUAUACUUCAAAUGUUCGGGAGAAGUUUGAGCUCCAGCUCGGAUGCCUGCACAACAGAAGGCAACAAUUUUCUCUGAGUUUCAGGUACAAAGAUAGAAGUGAGCUUAUACCUUAAAGAAAUUGGUGGAAGUAAGUGCAGUGCUUCAAUCAUACUAUACAACUCAUCACUUAUUUCCACACUGAGAGUUGCUCCCAACUCAAGGUAUUUCGCCAAAGUUACUCUCAGUGCAUCCUCCCCAUCUAACUCAAACAUUUCCUGUACAAGGGGUUCAAUAACACUCAAAGUAAAAAUAGAGUUAGAUUCCUCCGGGUAUUUCAUUGCAUAAAAAAUAUUGAAAUUUAUAAUUUCUCCAUCAAACUCUAUUGACAAAGUACCUUCAUUCAGAUCUAUUUUUAUCCUAAUAGUGCUUAAAAAUGGUCAACCUAACAAAAUGGAUGACGAAUUUAAUGACUUUUCAUCCCCCAUGUUUAGGACAUAAAAAUCUGAUAGAAAAACUAACUCAUUAACCUGCACCAAAACAUCUUCAACUAAUUCCUCUGGAUAAGCAUUGGUGCGGUCUGCUAGUUGGAUUAUAAUACUUGUGCCUUUUAGUGGCCCAAUAUUUAGAGACGCAUAAAUAAUUGUACGCAUUACAUUAAUCGACGCCCCUAAAUCCAACAUUACUUUCCUAAUUGGGGUAUCUCCUAUUUUACAUGACAUUGUGAACAUACUUGGGUCUCCACACUUCGAAGAGAGUUUCUUUUGGAGUAUAGCCUACGCAUUUUCUCCCACUGCCACUCUUUCGUCACCCGUUAGCUUCCUCUUAUGGGUGUACAGAUCUUUCAGAAAUUUGGCAUAUUUCAAUACUUGCUUCAGUGCAUCCAACAAGGGGAUGUUGAUCUCCACUUUCUGGAAUACGUCUAGAAUCACUUUUUCCUUCUCUGCCUUCUUUGUCUUUUCCAACCUGUAAGGAAAAUGAGGUAAGUUAGAUUUAAUAUGAGCUGAAAAAGUAAAUGUUAUCUUAGGGUCUUCGCGAAUGCGCCCUUCUUCUUCAAUCUCCUUCUCUAUCUCCUCCUCACUUUUGCUUUUCGGAUUCGCCAACUUAGAUCGCUCCACUUCCUUGUUACUUCUCAAUGUCAUGACACUUACAUUUUUGGGAUUUGCUUAUGGUUGCAAUGUCAAUUUUUAAAAAACGUGAGUUUCCAGGCGAUUAAUGGCAGUUGUCAUGUGGCUUAUUCGAGUCUCCAUAUCUUUCAUGCCCGAUCUAGUUUUCUUUUGAAACUGAGUAGUACUUAUGGCCAAGCUCUUGACAAUGUCUGUCAAAGAGUCUCCUGAAUCUGCAAACGAAAGUUGAGGCUUUGGUUGCCAUAGUUGUUGAAAUCCUGGAGGGCGAUUUCCAAAUGAAUUCUACGGCCUGUUCCCGUAGCUGAACUUAGGAUGGUCUCUCCAACCCGAAUUGUACGUGUUGGAGUACGGGUCAUACUACCUGCGGGGCGCGAGCACGCCUCCAGCCAUAUUUACUUGUUCAGCUCCAUCUUUUUGCAAAAUAGGAUAUGUGUCUGUAAAGUGGUCCAUGCUUGUACAGAUUCCACAGACCUUCACUCGCUACGUAUUCCCCACGGCUAAUUACCGAACAAAAGACGUCAACUCUAACAGUUGCUGCUGAAUGGAUGACGUCUCUACCUCUUUGACCCUACGGGUGGAGUUACUCUCACGGAAGCCAAAUUGCUGCGAAUUUUCUGCCAUUGCUUCAAUAAGCUCCCAUGCUUCCCUCGGUGUCUUAUUUGCCAGUACUCCUCCACUCGCAGCGUCAAUGAUACUUCUGUCAGAUGACUGGAACCCUUCAUAGAAGUAUUAGAUCAAUAAUUGUUCACUAAUUUGAUGCUGUGGGCAUCUAGUACACAAUUUAUUGAAUCUUUUCCAAUAAUCAUACAGGGACUCCCCGAGAUACUGUUUGAUGCUGCAUAUUUCCUUCCUCAAACUUGCAGUCUGGGAUGUAGGGAAGAAUUUUUCUAAGAACUUCUUUUUCAACUGUGCCCAUGUGGUGAUACUACCUACGGAUAGGUAGUAUAGCUAAUCUUUCGCUGUAUCCUUGAGAGAGAAAGGGAAGACUCUAAGUUUAAUUUGCUUUUCAGUGACCCCAAGAGAUUUCAUGGUAGAACAAACCACUUCGAACUCUUGGACGUGUUUGUGGGGUUCUUCACCAAAUAAACCAUGGAACGAGGGUAAGAGGUGAAUUAACCCUAAUUUCGGAUCGAAUGAGGUAUUCUUAGCCAGAGUUGGGAAUGCAAUGCACAAAGGCUGGUGGGUCAACUCCGAGGCAGCCAACUCCCUUAGUGUUCGGUUGUUGGUCAUGCUAACUUCGUCUUCUACUGACUCGUUUGCAGUAGAUGACUACCCUUCUUUUCAUCUCUUGGUCUCUUGUUUUCGCCUAUGCACUGCUUUCUCAAUCUUAGGGUCAUAUAUCAAUUCUCAUGUGCGAGAAGAACGGGGCAUAAACUAACAAGAAUACCACAAAUAAACUAAACUCAAAAAAAAAAAUAAUUCAAGUGCCAGUCCCUGGAAACGGCGCAAAAAAUGAGAGGUGCCGAUCUGUGCAAUAAUAAUAAAAACCUAACUACCAUCAAAAGCAGUCAAUAAUCAAUUCUAGGUACUGGAGCAGAGACUCUAGGUGUGCAAUAGGUUACUUGAUUCACCCCGUUCUCGAAGAGUUUGCUUAAUCCGAUAUACCAGAAUUAAUUAACUGACAAAAUUUACUAACUAAUAGACAGUGGCAAGCAGGGUCAUCUCCUCAGGGACUGGAGAGAUGUUUGUUUCCUUUCGAGUCAAGACAAAUGGGAGAUAUUAGGAUUAAAUGCUAACGAAUUGCUAACUAAAUAAAUCAAAUGCAAAAAAUAAUGAAUUGACAUAAAUAAUUGGGAAAACUUUAGCCAAGGGUACACUUCAGAGAUGGUUCAUGUAACUGAUCAUCAAUUCAAAUAUAAUUUUAACAUUUAUUAAUAGAUUGGUUAUAGUUGUCAUGCACGCGAUAAACAACCGAUCUUUUUCGAUAGUUAAGGUACGACCGUUAACUAUUCCUUUAACCCGAAAACAAUUCUAGAUAUGAUCGUAGGAUGUAAUUUCUAGAUUGCAUUACGAUUUAGAAAAAUCCAAUCCUAACUAACAAACACGCUACGAGGGUUUGUUUAAAUUAGAUCGUAUGUUUUCCUGAUAUAAAUCCAAUUACGCCAGUUGUUACCAGGACGGAGGUAAUCGAACAAUUACGGAUUCGACUACCCCCAAUUAGCAAAAUAGCCUACGUGAAUAAUUAAAUAUUGUGCACUAUUCAAUCAUACACAAAAAUUAUAACAAUUAAAAGCAGAAAACAUAUAAAUAUCAAUAAAUAGAGAAAAAAGUUAAAAUAAUUUAGAUCUUACACUAAUUGCUGAACCAAAUCUUCAGUUGUCCUCUUGACUAGAAUUAAGAAGUUAGUUCUCCAUUAAUGGAGAACACACCAUGUAAAGCAAUUAAGGAAAAACCGUCAACUCUUGUCUCCCCAAAUUCAGCCAAUCAGAGAAAGAAGAACAAGAAAAAUUGUUGUUUUCUAUUGUUUCCCACAAAAACAUGCGAGAGAGUAUGAUGCUUUUCUUCAAUUCAGUCAAAACCAAAGGAAAAAGCAAAUUCAACCAACCAAUAAUUGUGGCUCUCUUCAAGUUCUUCCCAAAAAAGUAAGAAAAGUCAAAACUAAAAAGAAGUACAAUUCCUUCUAUGUUGGUAGCCACCAAAAAGGGUGAAGGAAAUCCUUUUUCUUUUUUGGCCAGGCCCACCAGAGAAAUAAACGCAUACUAGUCCUAGUUUUCCUCCUCAAAAAUUGGUAUUUGGAUACCAAACUUCCUAAAUAAAAGAGAUCCUAUUACAAAUUACUUUCUUCAACUUUGGAGUGGCCCCACCGAUCUCCAAAUUUGUAGCCAACCACUUCACUCAGUUUUUGGAAGCUUCCACAUGUGCAAAUCAUCCCGAGAAUCUGUCCUUCAAGGCUGGAGUUAGGCGUGGGCACGCCUAACUAUCAGGAAGUCUGCUAGAAUGACGAUUUUCAGCACUUUUUCUUCACCACUUCUUGCAAUUAAUCCCAAACACAAAUCUGAGUAAAAUCUAGCAAAUAGUGCGAUAUUUAGUCAAAACAAUUAUGCAAUAUUAACAAAAUAUCUCACUAAAAUGCACCCUAUCAAUGAUCAACUAUGUUUAUAUUUAAACAAACAUAGAUAUGAUUCUUAUGGUCAUUGUUUCUUGAUUGACUCUGUUUGAUUUGUGUAGUGUAAUGAUUUGACUGGAUGCCGACUUCGUAAAAAAAAUUUUUAACUACUAGCGCGGUGGUAUACUUGAAUUGUAGUUGAGUGGAAUUUUUGCCACUUAUGUGGACUAUUGCGGAUUGCUUUUUUCGUUUGGUCAGAACUAGAAGCGAUCUUAUUUUAUCGUGUGCUACGUAAUGACUUGAGCGGUUUUAAAAUUUUUUUGCUUCUUUUAGCCAAUCUUGUAGUCUGGUGUUGCUUCUUUUAUGAAGACUUAUGUUUCUGCGUUUUGAUAAAUAAUGCUAGCCAGUAUACAUGAUUAAAGCUGUUGACCAUUGUGUUUGUCUAGUUUAUUUGCUUCAAAUCCCGAUUUGCUAUUUGACAUCCUGGAACUAUUUUUUUAUGAUUUUGAGGUUGGCAAGAUUGUGAUUCUAACUUACGAACUUGGAAAAUUUGUGAGAGAAGGAUUUGGUUCCAGCUUCUCGAUAAAGUAUUCUUCAUUUCCAUUAUGAUAUUCUUUGUAUAUGCUUAAUAUUGUACAGUUCUUUUGCUUCCUUGGUUUUUUAGUUCCUGGUUCGGCGCUAUUUGAUGAUUGUAGUAGAAUCUACUGCACCUUAUUGUGAUCAAUUUGGCUAUGUUUAAGUUGACAUAGAAAUUGCUGCUUAUGGCCAUAGUUUUUAAGUGACUUUUUAUUUGAAGUUGUGUUGUUUCGUGAUUGGACUGGAUUUUGACUUUGUGAAUUAUUUCUGUUACCACUUUGUGUGGUGGUACACCUGAAUUGUACUUAAUUCAGAUUUUAAACAAUUAUGUGGACUAUUUAAGGUUGCUUGCUUCUUUGUCAGAGUUUGGAAGCGUUUUUUGUUCAUUGCCAAACUAAUAAUUCGCCUCAUCUUCUCCAUGCCUAAUAGACUAUGGUCACCUGAUGGUUGCAAUAAAUUCUAUGGUACUUUUAUGAUUGUGAUGGAUAUGGUUAAUUCUGAGUAGAUAGUCAAAUUGCUUCUUGUGGUCAUAAUUUUUUGAGUGACUUGUUUGAAGUAGUGCUGGUUAAUGACCUGAUGGAAUUCUGAACUUGUCAAUUGUUUUGAUAACUAAAGGUGCAGUGGUGCCCCUUAAUUGUAAUAUGUGAAUUAUGCCAUACUGCUUGUUUCUUUGAUGAAAGUUUGGAUGGAUUUUUGUUCACAAUGGAGUAGUGACCACAUUUUUGUCAUUGUGAUCAAUUUGGUCAUGUUUAAUUAUACAAACAAAUUGCUUCAUAUGGUUAUAGUUUCUUCAAUGUCUCUGGUGUUCUGUUUAAUGAUUUGACUAAAUUCUGAAGUUUCUGAUUGUUUUUUGUAACCACUGAUGCUGUGGUGCAGCUUAAUUAUGUUUCUUUUAUGAUUGAAGAAUCAGUUAUGCCUGCUUUGUGCUCUAAAGUGAUGCUUGUUUUACAAGUGUGACCAAAGUACCUUUUGUGGCUGUAGUUUCUGAUUGGCUUUUUUCUCUGUUGUAUAAAAUCUGAAUUUCCAAUGUAGCAUUGGUAAAUCAGUUGUACUUUAAUGGCAAUUUACCAAUUAUGUGGAUACUUUCAUAUUUCUUGCAACCAAUUGUGUGGAUACUUUCAGAUUUCUUGCUUCUUUUUGGUAAAUGUGAGAUUGUCUCUCUUGUAUAUUGCCGGUUUUAUCACAUUGACUGUUGUUCAUGGGGAUAUUUGUAUCUUCUUUAUUGGAAAAGUUUCAAUUUGAUCCUUUGAAAUACUCUAAAAGUAUCAAUUUGGUCUCUAACACUAUAACACAAACCUUAAUUUGAGUUCAAGACUUCAGUUUCAUCUAGGGCUGUCAACGGGCCGGGUCCGGGCCGGAAUUCAUUAUUCCGGACCCGGACCCGAAUUACUAUGCCGGAUCCGGACCCGACCCGUUUACCCGACGGGUCCUUUAUUCUACGUUCCGGGUCCGGAUCCGGCGGUCCCGGAUCCGGAUCCGGGUCUACCCGAACAAAUUUACCAAAUUUUAUAAUUUCUAAUAAAAAUGAGAAAAAAAUAUAUUUGUAAACUAAUUUCUAACUAAUGCAAAGAAAAAAUCAAAUAAGAAAAGAAAUCAAAUUAACUUUAUUAAAAUACAUCACCCUAAUCAAAUUAUAUUGAUAAAUAUAUAUUUUUUAAAUUAUUAAUUCAUUUAUAUCCGGAUCCGGGUCUAAUACGGGUCGGAAUACUAUAUUCCGUAUCCGACCCGUUUUUUUGUUUGACAAAACGGAUCCGGAUCCGGAUCCGGGAAACGGAAUUAAAUCCCUACCCAUACCCGCAUUAAUUUCACGGAUCCGAUCCGGAUCCGGGUCUAGACCCGACCCGUUGACAGGCCUAGUUUCAUCACAUUGAGAAGAUUUUUGAAUAUGGUCUUUCAAAUGUAGGAAAAUGUUAUUUGGAUUCCAUAUAUUGUUAUUUGCACUCCCAUCAUUUGUUAUAUCAUAUAGUCUAAUAAAUAAAAACUAUAUAAUAAAAAUGAUAGUGGGAGUGCAAAUAAUAAAAAGGGAGUGUAAAUAACAUUUUCCAAAAAAAUAUGGGUAAAUAUUUUGUAUGUGACUAUAUAGGGAAAACGACGAGUUUCAUCCCUCACAUUUUACAAAAAUAUUCUUUUCGUUCUUCAUUUUUAAAACAAAAUGAAUUUGUUCUUGAUAUUUAAAAAUAGAACCUAUUACAUCCCUCAAGUCAACUUUCAAUUUGAAUUCAGCCACCUAGCAACCCGGUUGCAAAUUUUGGGAGAUAUAAUUGGUAGAUCAUUUGGUUAAUUGAACUUGAUAUUCACGUGGAAUUCAAUGAAUCAAAAAAGGGGAAAAUAAAAAAUUAUAGCAUACAAAAGAAGGAUUUAUCCAAUGUUUUACAGUUUAAAUUUAAACAAAAAUCACGCAAGCCAAAUAUCCAAUGUUCCAAAUGUAUUUUGCAUAUCCGCCAAUAAAUAGAGAGUAACACCAAAAAAAUUUACUAAGGUAAACUGGUAAAUUCCAUAAUUUCCGCCAAAUUGAUAAAAUUACGUCAAAGUUUCACUUUGUUGGCCUCGUGUAUUUACAUGUAGAUGGAGCCCAAGUGAUGAGGUGCCACUGUACACGAUGCUAGGCAAUUUGGUCAAUAAAAAUUCUUAAAACCAAACCCCCCCCCCCCCCAAAAAAAAAAAAAAAACCUCAUAAAUUUGCAUGGGAGCGCCUCUAAACCCCAAUUUACUAGUGUUUGGAUUGCAGUUUUCUAUCUAAAAAAUUCUAUAUUUUCAGUGAACACAUUUUUCUAUUACUUUUUUAUCUCACAUACAUCAAAUCAUUACAAUAUAUUUUUCUUUAAAAAUUCUAAAAUAUAUCAAUCCAAACGCUAACCAAUUCCUACACUAGUUCAAAGGGAAUUUAUCUUACUGGGUAGUAGCCAGUUUUAUCUUACCGGCCACUACCCGUUAGAUUUCACUAAGUCAAGAAAUCUUUGAGGCAUGUUAAGUACUGCAUGGUAGCCAACUGAAGUAGACAGAGUUGGUUCCUCUAACCCUCUUCAACAUUUAAUUGAAAUUUAUGACCCCUGAAAUCCAACUCCUGUGCUGUACUAAACCAUACUCAUUAAAGCAACUAAAUGCGCUUGCUACAGAAACUAUUGAACAAUUGAUUCUUUCAACAUCCUUUCUCUUACACUCAACUAGCUUUCUUGAACCAUAUCUUUGAUCUCAUGGGUUAUUCUAGUGGGCAAAUCGUUGCUUGCCUAAUUCAUUCCCAGGACAGAUUUGUAAGGUGGCUCUUGCUAGAUGAUAUGUUGCAGAAAGUUGGUUGGUCCGUACAACAUUGCUAAAAGAUACAUGCUAAGAACACACCUGAUUAUUGAAUCCAAGGACUAAAAUACAGUCUCAGAAAGAAAUCUUCAGCCACCUGAUAUUAGUUUUACAGUCUACAAUCAGGUGUAACUGUGUGCAAUCAGAAAUAUAUGAAGUCGGCAACAAGAUAUUAGUUAUACAUGCGUAAUAUUAGGUGUGCUAUCAGUAUUUGUCCAAAUGCAUGACAAACAAGUAAUCAAUAUCGAUACUUGGUAGA
This 14495-nucleotide long non-coding RNA is filed under the name Coffea arabica (coffee). RNAcentral's name for it is "long non-coding RNA (CARA_LNC005873)". Lineage: Eukaryota; Viridiplantae; Streptophyta; Magnoliopsida; Gentianales; Rubiaceae. The record is from RNAcentral.